Molecule: long non-coding RNA, 262 nt
Organism: Periophthalmus magnuspinnatus
Lineage: Eukaryota; Metazoa; Chordata; Actinopteri; Gobiiformes; Gobiidae
Exons: 2
Source: RefSeq, a predicted model, not a curated record
CUGCUGUCACUGCUUCUCUUGGACUUGGACCUCCUACUGGCAGCUCCUGCAGGUAGAGAAGUCUACAGGAUGCCCCACAGUGCACUCAAAGCUUUAUCUGAUCGUGGUACUGUGGUGCUAGAAGCUGCCAUGACAAGUGCUUUGUCUGCCCUGGAACGAGCGUCUUCUGAGAAGAGUCGGGCUGAAGCGGGCUGCAGGGGCUGUGCUCCCUGCCUCUUUCAGGACUGUGGGCAGCCAGCAUCAUGUUGUAAGUUCUCAAACA